AGAGUUUGAUCCUGGCUCAGAUUGAACGCUGGCGGCAGGCCUAACACAUGCAAGUCGAACGGUAGCACAGAGGAGCUUGCUCCUUGGGUGACGAGUGGCGGACGGGUGAGUAAUGUCUGGGAAACUGCCCGAUGGAGGGGGAUAACUACUGGAAACGGUAGCUAAUACCGCAUAACGUCGCAAGACCAAAGAGGGGGACCUUCGGGCCUCUUGCCAUCGGAUGUGCCCAGAUGGGAUUAGCUAGUAGGUGGGGUAACGGCUCACCUAGGCGACGAUCCCUAGCUGGUCUGAGAGGAUGACCAGCCACACUGGAACUGAGACACGGUCCAGACUCCUACGGGAGGCAGCAGUGGGGAAUAUUGCACAAUGGGCGCAAGCCUGAUGCAGCCAUGCCGCGUGUAUGAAGAAGGCCUUCGGGUUGUAAAGUACUUUCAGCGAGGAGGAAGGCGUUGUGGUUAAUAACCGCAGCGAUUGACGUUACUCGCAGAAGAAGCACCGGCUAACUCCGUGCCAGCAGCCGCGGUAAAAGGG
RNAcentral lists this ribosomal RNA (531 nucleotides) under uncultured Enterobacterales bacterium. RNAcentral describes it as "bacterial SSU rRNA". It matches the Rfam family "Bacterial small subunit ribosomal RNA", at positions 8 to 528 of the family's 1533-position model. Lineage: Bacteria; Pseudomonadati; Pseudomonadota; Gammaproteobacteria; Enterobacterales. The record is from RNAcentral.